This 747-nucleotide long non-coding RNA is filed under the name Mytilus galloprovincialis (Mediterranean mussel). Lineage: Eukaryota; Metazoa; Mollusca; Bivalvia; Mytilida; Mytilidae. The record is from RNAcentral.
UUGUGUUUGUCUCUCCUGAACGAAGUAAAUAAAAGCGUGAAUUCGACGUGCAGCGUCAGUGUCGUCAACGAUGCAUUCGUUUGUGAUUGUGUCAUUUUAAGGGUAUGAAUAUUUGGUUUGCAGUUGUAAUCGCAUUGGCAUCCCUCAUUUAGACGGAGAUAAGUUGACCCGUAGCGUCAACUGCUCAAGCAUAGGUCCAUUGACUUUCAAAUUUUAAAUCGCAUUUUAAUUUUUAUGGAGACCGGUAAUAUUUUGCAAUGUUUCAUUUAGUGUUUAUGUCAAGUAUAUUGUAUUUCCCGGUUAAUGUUUUUGGAGGGGGGACCAUUUUAGUUUCAACAUUUGCAUUAUACUAUUACAUAAAGUCGAGACAUGUCAACAAUGGAAUAUUUUUUAAUACAUGUCGCAUAAGGAAUAUUGUAUGAGUUUUUAGUACUGUACUAGUUGUGAUAUGAUGCGUCCUUUAUUACAAAAAUUGUAUAUUCUGUCAGGUGAGAUAUGUCUUUCAUUGAGAAUAAUGACUGUGUAUAGCAGGGUAGUUAUAUAGUUGUGUGUAUCAAAUACUUUCUAUAUCGAACCUAUAUGAUUAUGAUAACUAAUAGCUGUCUAUUGAAAUCAUGGAGACCGGCUAAAUAAAAGUGCUAUAUUAGAUUUGGUUUCUUUGAAUUAAAAGUAUAUGAUCGCCAAUUUCUUAGCAGUCACACAUAGUUUAUAGUAAUAUAACUUUUAUAAUCGUUCUUUAAUAAGUAG